ACAGCAGCAGCCACGGUAAUACGGAGGGGGCUAGCGUUGUUCGGAAUUACUGGGCGUAAAGCGCACGUAGGCUGCUUUGUAAGUCAGAGGUGAAAGCCCGGGGCUCAACCCCGGAUGUGCCUUUGAGACUGCAGGGCUAGAACGUCGGAGAGGUGAGUGGAAUUCCGAGUGUAGAGGUGAAAUUCGUAGAUAUUCGGAAGAACACCAGUGGCGAAGGCGGCUCACUGGACGACUGUUGACGCUGAGGUGCGAAAGCGUGGGGAGCAAACAGGAUUAGAUACCCCUGUAGUCCCUGUCUCUUAUAC
RNAcentral lists this ribosomal RNA (305 nucleotides) under uncultured bacterium. RNAcentral describes it as "partial 16S ribosomal RNA". It matches the Rfam family "Bacterial small subunit ribosomal RNA", at positions 506 to 807 of the family's 1533-position model. The record is from RNAcentral.